RNAcentral lists this ribosomal RNA (633 nucleotides) under uncultured Alcanivorax sp. RNAcentral describes it as "bacterial SSU rRNA". It matches the Rfam family "Bacterial small subunit ribosomal RNA", at positions 870 to 1504 of the family's 1533-position model. Lineage: Bacteria; Pseudomonadati; Pseudomonadota; Gammaproteobacteria; Oceanospirillales; Alcanivoracaceae. The record is from RNAcentral.
CGCCUGGGGAGUGCGGCCGCAAGGUUAAAACUCAAAUGAAUUGACGGGGGCCCGCACAAGCGGUGGAGCAUGUGGUUUAAUUCGAUGCAACGCGAAGAACCUUACCAGGUCUUGACAUCCUCGGAACUUGGCAGAGAUGCCUUGGUGCCUUCGGGAGCCGAGUGACAGGUGCUGCAUGGCCGUCGUCAGCUCGUGUCGUGAGAUGUUGGGUUAAGUCCCGUAACGAGCGCAACCCUUGUCCUUAGUUGCCAGCACGUCAUGGUGGGAACUCUAGGGAGACUGCCGGUGACAAACCGGAGGAAGGUGGGGACGACGUCAGGUCAUCAUGGCCCUUACGACCUGGGCUACACACGUGCUACAAUGGCUGGUACAGAGGGUUGCGAAGUCGCGAGGCGAAGCUAAUCCCUUAAAGCCAGUCGUAGUCCGGAUCGGAGUCUGCAACUCGACUCCGUGAAGUCGGAAUCGCUAGUAAUCGCGGAUCAGGAUGCCGCGGUGAAUACGUUCCCGGGCCUUGUACACACCGCCCGUCACACCAUGGGAGUGGAUUGCACCAGAAGUGGCUAGUCUAACUACGGAGGACGGUCACCACGGUGUGGUUCAUGACUGGGGUGAAGUCGUAACAAGGUAACCGUA